This 466-nucleotide ribosomal RNA is filed under the name uncultured bacterium. Its description in RNAcentral is "partial 16S ribosomal RNA". It matches the Rfam family "Bacterial small subunit ribosomal RNA", at positions 29 to 506 of the family's 1533-position model. The record is from RNAcentral.
ACGCACGCUGGCGGCGUGCUUAACCCAUGCCAGUCGAACGGAAAGGCCCUGCUUUUGUGGGGUGCUCGAGUGGCGAACGGGUGAGUAACACGUGAGUAACCUGCCCUUGACUUUGGGAUAACUUCAGGAAACUGGGGCUAAUACCGGAUAGGAGCUCCUGCUGCAUGGUGGGGGUUGGAAAGUUUCGGCGGUUGGGGAUGGACUCGCGGCUUAUCAGCUUGUUGGUGGGGUAGUGGCUUACCAAGGCUUUGACGGGUAGCCGGCCUGAGAGGGUGACCGGCCACAUUGGGACUGAGAUACGGCCCAGACUCCUACGGGAGGCAGCAGUGGGGAAUAUUGCACAAUGGGCGGAAGCCUGAUGCAGCAACGCCGCGUGCGGGAUGACGGCCUUCGGGUUGUAAACCGCUUUCGCCUGUGACGAAGCGUGAGUGACGGUAAUGGGGAAAGAAGCACCGGCUAACUACGU